This 270-nucleotide ribosomal RNA is filed under the name uncultured bacterium. Its description in RNAcentral is "partial 16S ribosomal RNA". It matches the Rfam family "Bacterial small subunit ribosomal RNA", at positions 83 to 354 of the family's 1533-position model. The record is from RNAcentral.
CUACGUCGGCGACCGGCGCACGGGUGCGUAACGCGUAUGCAACCUACCCAUUACAGGGGGAUAACACUGAGAAAUCGGUACUAAUACCCCAUAACAUCCAGGGAGGCAUCUUCUUGGGUUGAAAACUCCGGUGGUAAUGGAUGGGCAUGCGUUGUAUUAGUUAGUUGGUGGGGUAACGGCUCACCAAGACAACGAUACAUAGGGGGACUGAGAGGUUAACCCCCCACAUUGGUACUGAGACACGGACCAAACUCCUACGGAAGGCAGCAG